Molecule: ribosomal RNA, 551 nt
Filed under: Dacrymyces stillatus
Lineage: Eukaryota; Fungi; Basidiomycota; Dacrymycetes; Dacrymycetales; Dacrymycetaceae
Description: eukaryotic LSU rRNA
Rfam family: Eukaryotic large subunit ribosomal RNA
Source: RNAcentral
AUAAGCGGAGGAAAAGAAACUAACAAGGAUUCCCCUAGUAACUGCGAGUGAAGCGGGACAAGCUCAAAUUUAAAAGCCUUCGGGCGUUGUAAUCUAUAGAAGUGUUUUCGGUCGUUGCCUCGGAUAAGUCUCUUGGAACAGAGUGUCAAAGAGGGUGAGAAUCCCGUUCUUGCCGAGCUACCAACGUCCUUGCGAUACACUUUCAAAGAGUCGAGUUGUUUGGGAAUGCAGCUCAAAACGGGUGGUAAACUCCAUCUAAAGCUAAAUAUUGGCGAGAGACCGAUAGCGAACAAGUACCGUGAGGGAAAGAUGAAAAGCACUUUGGAAAGAGAGUUAAACAGUACGUGAAAUUGUUAAAAGGGAAACGCUUGGAGUCAGUCGCGUUGCAUGGACUCAGCCUCACGGUGUAUUUCUAUGCAACGGGUCAACAUCAGUUUUGGGCGGGGGAAAAGGGCUUGGGGAAUGUAGCAACCUCGGUUGUGUUAUAGCCCCUUGUCGUACACCUCGCCCGGGACUGAGGUCUGGUUAAAGGAUGUUGACGAAAUGGCUCU